Molecule: long non-coding RNA, 961 nt
Organism: Nicotiana tabacum (common tobacco)
Lineage: Eukaryota; Viridiplantae; Streptophyta; Magnoliopsida; Solanales; Solanaceae
Source: RefSeq, a predicted model, not a curated record
AAUAGAGAGAGACAGAUAGGAGGAGAUAGAGCAAAUUGGGGAAAAUACAAAUCUAAAAAAAUAGCCACACCUCCUCUCUUAUAUUUUAUAUUCUUCCUAAAAUGCUUCAUUAAACCACCCUCAAACACCCCCAAAGAGCCUGUUUUUUUAGCCAUGAAAGGGUAACAAUGAAACCUCCAUUAAGCCACUCUUAAACUCCAUUAAGUAACUCCAAAAUUACUAUGAAACACCUCUGUUUACAGCUGAAAAAUGCAGCAAAAUGUCCAUUGAAAACAACUCCAAAAGCUCACCAAAAGUCAGCAAUAAAGCUACCACAAACACCUCCCACACCCAGCUCGAAAACAGCCCCCCAAAGCCCUAAAUGUUAGCCAAAAGCUGACCCGAAAAGAACCACAAAAGCAGUUUCAAUUUUUUCCAUUAAUCACGCUGGAGCUCUAUCACCCGAGAUCGCUGGCGAGUUCUCUGUGUCUGGUUCGGUUUGUUCAAAUUCUCUCAUUGAGUUUACAUGUUUGUAUUCAAUAAAUCUUCAUGUAUAUAAAAGGUUGAUUGAGCCACAAAGAUCUCCAGUUGGGAUAAGGCUGAUUGAGCCACAAAUACAAAUAGUACUGGGUGUGAAACUAUUAGGGUUGCUGCAGAACAAAAGUCUCUUGAAACCAACCCAAGCUGAUUGAGCAAAAGCCUAGCUGCCCAAGACUCAAGACCACAAACCGACCACCGCUUUCAAAGCUGACAAAAUUUUCAUCAGCUGAACAGGAACAAAGUAGUGCAAGGAAAGUGGUUUCAAAAAAAAGAAAAAAAAGAGAAGAGAAGAAAAGAGCUGACAAGGGGAUGUUUCUCAAAUCUUUCCCUUUACUUGUCUUGCUAAUGUGCAUAAAUGUUGCCAUUGCUCUUCAUAUUUUUUCUCCUAUGAUAGAAAACCUAGUCUGAUGAACUUUCUCCUAUGAUAGAAAACCUAGUCUGA